GUUGUUGUGGCCGAGUGGUUAAGCUGAUGGAUUUAAAAUCCAUUGGGGUCUCCCGUCGCAGGUUCAAAUCCUGCUGACAAGA
Etheostoma spectabile (orangethroat darter) is the source of this 82-nucleotide non-coding RNA. The record is from the annotation of a RefSeq genome assembly. NCBI's taxonomy places the organism in Eukaryota, Metazoa, Chordata, Actinopteri, Perciformes, Percidae.